This 375-nucleotide ribosomal RNA is filed under the name uncultured bacterium. RNAcentral describes it as "bacterial SSU rRNA". It matches the Rfam family "Bacterial small subunit ribosomal RNA", at positions 523 to 898 of the family's 1533-position model. The record is from RNAcentral.
AUACGUAGGUGGCAAGCGUUGUCCGGAUUUACUGGGCGUAAAGGGUGCGUAGGCGGCCAUAUAAGUCAGGUGUGAAAAACCACGGCUCAACCGAGGUAUUGCACAUGAAACUGUAUGGCUUGAGUACAGGAGAGGAAAGUGGAAUUCCUAGUGUAGCGGUGAAAUGCGUAGAGAUUAGGAAGAACACCAGUGGCGAAGGCGGCUUUCUGGACUGUAACCGACGCUGAGGCACGAAAGCGUGGGGAGCAAACAGGAUUAGAUACCCUGGUAGUCCACGCUGUAAACGAUGGAUACUAGGUGUAGGGGUUUAAAGACUUCUGUGCCGGAGUUAACGCAAUAAGUAUCCCGCCUGGGGAGUACGGCCGCAAGGCUGAA